UACGGAGGGUGCAAGCGUUGUCCGGAUUUAUUGGGUUUAAAGGGUGCGUAGGCGGGUCUUUAAGUCAGUGGUGAAAGCCCACAGCUCAACUGUGGAAUUGCCAUUGAUACUGGGGACCUUGAGUUCAGUUGAGGUAAGCGGAAUUUAUGGUGUAGCGGUGAAAUGCAUAGAUACCAUAAAGAACACCGAUUGCGAAGGCAGCUUACUGGGCUUGGACUGACGCUGAGGUGCGAAAGCGUGGGGAGCAAACAGG
RNAcentral lists this unclassified non-coding RNA (253 nucleotides) under uncultured Cytophagales bacterium. Its description in RNAcentral is "contains 16S-23S intergenic spacer region". It matches the Rfam family "Bacterial small subunit ribosomal RNA", at positions 524 to 776 of the family's 1533-position model. Lineage: Bacteria; Pseudomonadati; Bacteroidota; Sphingobacteriia; Sphingobacteriales. The record is from RNAcentral.